Parelaphostrongylus tenuis is the source of this 80-nucleotide non-coding RNA. Lineage: Eukaryota; Metazoa; Nematoda; Chromadorea; Rhabditida; Metastrongylidae. The record is from the annotation of a GenBank genome assembly.
GCGUCGGUGCUGAAACGGUUAGCAUGUUAGCAUACGCUCCCGGAAAGAGUGAGAUCUGGGUUCGAAUCCCGGCUGACGCA